Molecule: ribosomal RNA, 408 nt
Filed under: Triticum aestivum (bread wheat)
Lineage: Eukaryota; Viridiplantae; Streptophyta; Magnoliopsida; Poales; Poaceae
Description: partial small subunit ribosomal RNA
Source: RNAcentral
AUGCUGAAACUACCAAGUGAUGUUCUUGAUCCAUUCAGCAGGCAAAACAAAGAAGAAACUGAAUCAAAAGACAAUUUGGACCCUCCCAAAAUUGGAGCCAGGACUUCAGCAGAGCAUGGUGGAAGUGCAGAUCUUGGCACUGCAGUGUCGACCAUCCUGGUGGUCAGGUGGUGUGUCGUUGAACGGCCCAAGGUGACGACGGUGAACUGCUUGGGUGCUUCGGCUACAGAGCCCCACCGGGAGGAGGAGGUGGAGGAGGGGCAUGGAUCCAGGGACGGCGACUCGUCGACGGGCAGGGGGUGGCUUGGGGGUGGCCCGUGUGUGAUCCUGCUCGAGAGGGUGGCCGUCGAUCCGCGGGUGCGUCGGUGGCUGGCGAGGUUGGAUCUUGGCAGCGAGGAACAUCGGUAG